This 433-nucleotide ribosomal RNA is filed under the name Microbacterium sp. Its description in RNAcentral is "bacterial SSU rRNA". It matches the Rfam family "Bacterial small subunit ribosomal RNA", at positions 21 to 455 of the family's 1533-position model. Lineage: Bacteria; Bacillati; Actinomycetota; Actinomycetes; Micrococcales; Microbacteriaceae. The record is from RNAcentral.
GGCUCAGGAUGAACGCUGGCGGCGUGCUUAACACAUGCAAGUCGAACGGUGAAGCAGAGCUUGCUCUGUGGAUCGUGGCGAACGGGUGAGUAACACGUGAGCAACCUGCCCCUGACUCUGGGAUAAGCGCUGGAAACGGCGUCUAAUACUGGAUAUGAGCUGCGAUCGCAUGGUCAGCAGUUGGAAAGAUUUUUCGGUCUGGGAUGGGCUCACGGCCUAUCAGCUUGUUGGUGAGGUAAUGGCUCACCAAGGCGUCGACGGGUAGCCGGCCUGAGAGGGUGACCGGCCACACUGGGACUGAGACACGGCCCAGACUCCUACGGGAGGCAGCAGUGGGGAAUAUUGCACAAUGGGCGAAAGCCUGAUGCAGCAACGCCGCGUGAGGGAUGACGGCCUUCGGGUUGUAAACCUCUUUAGCAGGGAAGAAGCGAAA